RNAcentral lists this ribosomal RNA (1200 nucleotides) under Lactiplantibacillus pentosus. RNAcentral's name for it is "bacterial SSU rRNA". It matches the Rfam family "Bacterial small subunit ribosomal RNA", at positions 64 to 1240 of the family's 1533-position model. Lineage: Bacteria; Bacillati; Bacillota; Bacilli; Lactobacillales; Lactobacillaceae. The record is from RNAcentral.
GGUGCUUGCAUCAUGAUUUACAUUUGAGUGAGUGGCGAACUGGUGAGUAACACGUGGGAAACCUGCCCAGAAGCGGGGGAUAACACCUGGAAACAGAUGCUAAUACCGCAUAACAACUUGGACCGCAUGGUCCGAGUUUGAAAGAUGGCUUCGGCUAUCACUUUUGGAUGGUCCCGCGGCGUAUUAGCUAGAUGGUGGGGUAACGGCUCACCAUGGCAAUGAUACGUAGCCGACCUGAGAGGGUAAUCGGCCACAUUGGGACUGAGACACGGCCCAAACUCCUACGGGAGGCAGCAGUAGGGAAUCUUCCACAAUGGACGAAAGUCUGAUGGAGCAACGCCGCGUGAGUGAAGAAGGGUUUCGGCUCGUAAAACUCUGUUGUUAAAGAAGAACAUAUCUGAGAGUAACUGUUCAGGUAUUGACGGUAUUUAACCAGAAAGCCACGGCUAACUACGUGCCAGCAGCCGCGGUAAUACGUAGGUGGCAAGCGUUGUCCGGAUUUAUUGGGCGUAAAGCGAGCGCAGGCGGUUUUUUAAGUCUGAUGUGAAAGCCUUCGGCUCAACCGAAGAAGUGCAUCGGAAACUGGGAAACUUGAGUGCAGAAGAGGACAGUGGAACUCCAUGUGUAGCGGUGAAAUGCGUAGAUAUAUGGAAGAACACCAGUGGCGAAGGCGGCUGUCUGGUCUGUAACUGACGCUGAGGCUCGAAAGUAUGGGUAGCAAACAGGAUUAGAUACCCUGGUAGUCCAUACCGUAAACGAUGAAUGCUAAGUGUUGGAAGGGUUUCCGCCCUUCAGUGCUGCAGCUAACGCAUUAAGCAUUCCGCCUGGGGGAGUACGGCCGCAAGGCUGAAACUCAAAGGAAUUGACGGGGGCCCGCACAAGCGGUGGAGCAUGUGGUUUAAUUCGAAGCUACGCGAAGAACCUUACCAGGUCUUGACAUACUAUGCAAAUCUAAGAGAUUAGACGUUCCCUUCGGGGACAUGGAUACAGGUGGUUGCAUGGUUGUCGUCAGCUCGUGUCCUGAGAAUGUUGGGGUUAAGUCCCGCAACGAGCGCAACCCUUAUUAUCAAUUGCCACCAUUAAAUUGGGCACUCUGGUGAGACUGCCCGUGACAAACCGAGGAAAGGAGUGGGGGUAGAAGUCCAAAUAAUCCUGGCCCCUAUUAACCUGGGGUACCACCCUGCUUCAAAUGAAAGGGUC